Molecule: transfer RNA, 67 nt
Filed under: Anolis trachyderma
Lineage: Eukaryota; Metazoa; Chordata; Lepidosauria; Squamata; Anolidae
Description: tRNA-Trp
Source: RNAcentral
AAAAACUUAGGUUAACCAAACCAAGGACCUUCAAAGCCCUAAAUAAGGACACAUUCCUUAGUUUUUG